AGGCAUGCAGUCGAACGAAUCUCAGUAGCAAUACUGGGGGAAGUGGCGAAAGGGGCAGUAAGGCAUGGGUAACCUACCCUGGGGACUGGGAUAGCCUUCCUAACGGAAGGGUAAUACCGGGCGAUGUAGCGGGGGAGCAUUUUCUUGCUACGAAAUGAAUUUCGCCUCGGGAGGGGCCCAUGUGAUAUUAGCUAGUUGGUGAGAUAACGGCUCACCAAGGCCAAGAUGUCUAGCGGGUGUGAGAGCACGACCCGCGCCACUGGCACUGUGACACUGGCCAGACUCCUACGGGAGGCUGCAGUCGAGGAUCUUCGGCAAUGGGCGCAAGCCUGACCGAGCGACGCCGCGUGUGCGAUGAAGGCCUUCGGGUUGUAAAGCACUGUCGAGGGGGAUAAAGGCGAAAGCUUGAUAGAUCCCUGGAGGAAGCACGGGCUAAGUUCGUGCCAGCAGCCGCGGUAAGACGAACCGUGCGAACGUUGUUCGGAAUCACUGGGCUUAAAGGGCGCGUAGGCGGGGUGGACAGUCUAUGGUGAAAUCCUCCAGCUCAACUGGAGAACUGCCGUGGAUACUGCCAUUCUUGAGGGGUGUAGGGGCAUGCGGAACUUCGGGUGGAGCGGUGAAAUGCGUAGAUAUCCGAAGGAACACCGGUGGCGAAAGCGGCGUGCUGGACACCUACUGACGCUGAGGCGCGAAAGCCAGGGGAGCAAACGGGAUUAGAUACCCCGGUAGUCCUGGCCCUAAACGAUGGGUACUAGAUUGUGGACUGGACAUGGGUUCACAGUCGAAGCAAAAGUGUUAAGUAC
This 803-nucleotide ribosomal RNA is filed under the name uncultured bacterium. RNAcentral describes it as "bacterial SSU rRNA". It matches the Rfam family "Bacterial small subunit ribosomal RNA", at positions 51 to 867 of the family's 1533-position model. The record is from RNAcentral.